AUUGAACGCUGGCGGCAGGCCUAACACAUGCAAGUCGGACGGUAGCACAGAGGAGCUUGCUCCUCGGGUGACGAGUGGCGGACGGGUGAGUAAUGUCUGGGGAUCUGCCCGAUAGAGGGGGAUAACCACUGGAAACGGUGGCUAAUACCGCAUAACGUCGCAAGACCAAAGAGGGGGACCUUCGGGCCUCCUACUAUGGGAAGAGCCUGCGUUGGAUUAGCUAGUUGGUAGGGUAAAGGCCUACCAAGGCGACGAUCCAUAACUGGUCUGAGAGGAUGAUCAGUCACACCGGAACUGAGACACGGUCCGGACUCCUACGGGAGGCAGCAGUGGGGAAUAUUGGACAAUGGGGGCAACCCUGAUCCAGCCAUGCCGCGUGUGUGAAGAAGGCCUUCGGGUUGUAAAGCACUUUAAGUGGGGAGAAAGGUUCGCUGGCUAAUAUCCAGCGGAAUUGAUGCUACCCACAGAAUAAGCACCGGCUAACUCUGUGCCAGCAGCCGCCGUAA
This 506-nucleotide ribosomal RNA is filed under the name uncultured bacterium. Its description in RNAcentral is "partial 16S ribosomal RNA". It matches the Rfam family "Bacterial small subunit ribosomal RNA", at positions 30 to 523 of the family's 1533-position model. The record is from RNAcentral.